CGUAGGCGGCUUGCCAAGUCAGGGGUGAAAUCCUGCAGCUUAACUGUAGAAGGGCCUUUGAUACUGGCGAGCUCGAGGGAGGUAGGGGUAUGUGGAACUUCCGGUGGAGCGGUGAAAUGCGUUGAUAUCGGAAGGAACGCCGGUGGCGAAAGCGACGUACUGGACCUCUUCUGACGCUGAGGCGCGAAAGCUAGGGGAAGGCAAACG
This 207-nucleotide ribosomal RNA is filed under the name uncultured bacterium. RNAcentral's name for it is "partial 16S ribosomal RNA". It matches the Rfam family "Bacterial small subunit ribosomal RNA", at positions 570 to 774 of the family's 1533-position model. The record is from RNAcentral.